This 494-nucleotide ribosomal RNA is filed under the name uncultured bacterium. Its description in RNAcentral is "bacterial SSU rRNA". It matches the Rfam family "Bacterial small subunit ribosomal RNA", at positions 15 to 518 of the family's 1533-position model. The record is from RNAcentral.
GAUUAUGGCUCAGGAUGAACGCUGGCGGCGUGCUUAACACAUUCAAGUCGAACGGACGAUGCGACUUCGGUCGCAAAGUUAGUGGCGGACGGGUGAGUAAUGCAUGAGCAACCUGCCUUUCCGCGGGGAAUAACACAGGGAAACCGGUGCUAAUACCGCAUACGCCAUUCCGGUUGCAUGUCCGGAAUGGGAAAGGAUUUAUUCACGGAAAGAUGGGCUCAUGUCUGAUUAGAUAGUUGGUGAGGUAACGGCCCACCAAGUCUGCGAUCAGUAGCCGGACUGAGAGGUUGAACGGCCACAUUGGAACUGAGAUACGGUCCAGACUCCUACGGGAGGCAGCAGUGGGGAAUAUUGGGCAAUGGGGGGAAAAACCCCUGACCCAGCGACGCCGCGUGAAGGAAGAAGGUCUUCGGAUUGUAAACUUUAAAUAGCAGGGACGAAGAAAGUGACGUUACCUGCAGGGAAGCCACGGCUAACUACGUGCCAGCCGCAGC